UCAUAUAAUGUAGCUCUUCUAGGAAAAAUCGUUCAAAAAUUUUGUUUCAGCAUGAAAAACUUAUUUUUGUAUCAAAAUAUCUGUUCCAGCAAAGAUCGUUUAAAAUUGUAGUUUUUGUUUGAAAUGUGAAGAGCGUAGAUCUUUCAAAAUUAUAAAAACUUAUACAUUUUCACCUUAUCAAAAUGUUAUCACCAAGUUCGGGAAAUAAAAACAUAUCAUAACUGCAAGCCCGUCUCAAAGCGAACUUCUAUAGAAACAGAGGUCGGCAAAGAAGUUUUGUGUAAAAGCAGUGAAGGGUAUUCAGUGUUCGGGGUGCCGUUCAAAGCAGCUCCCUCAAUGCUUUAUUUUUAUUUUUCACUUACAUGAAGGCAGCUGCUGCUGGAGGGAGCUGUUCGCAGAGCGCUAUCAAGACAGCAAACAAAACCAAUGCAGAGGAGCAUAACACAAGGCAGCCCAGGCAGAAUCAUCGCAUUCUGGCCAAAACCCAGCUACUGCGCCCGCCCCCGCCCUCACACUGCUGCCGCAGCCGCAACCCCAGCUCUGUCCCAGCAAGCCAAAGCGAGCGUGUUAACAGUCAGCAGCUUUAGAGCCAAAGGCGAAAAAGCUGCCCGCUAUUUCCUUGCCAACAUACAUUUUGCACAGCUGCUCUUAAUUAAAUGGAUAAACCUUAAAGGAUAAAACGGCUCAGAUAUUCACAUUGAAUAAAAGACUCUGUUCGCUCUCGUCUUCUGCUCUUAAAGUGCACACAUGACUGCAAAAUGCAUGCUCACUAAUUACAGUUGACAAACGUGUUGCCACAAAGUGUGGCAGCAACAACAGCAACAGAUUUAGAUUGUAUUUACAUGCAACGUCCUUGUGACCCACUGUCAAAAUAAGUUGCAAACAGAUACAACUUGCGAAAGCAAAUUUAAAGCAAAUUUCUGUUGCCACCCAAACACCAAAAUUAAAUGAAUUGCCAAAAAAAAAAAAUGGAACUGUGCACACGACAAAUGAAUACUCUAUAAAAAAACACACUCAAGAUAGAGCUACGAAUACCCUAAUGAAAAUAAAUAAAUAAAAUAUAACUUAUGAAGUGCCGAAAAAAAUGUCUG
This is a long non-coding RNA of Drosophila novamexicana, 1091 nucleotides long. RefSeq lists it as uncharacterized. The transcript has 3 exons. NCBI's taxonomy places the organism in Eukaryota, Metazoa, Arthropoda, Insecta, Diptera, Drosophilidae. The record is from RefSeq and is a predicted model, not a curated record.